CACAAGAGCUCCUUAAAGAAGAAAUACUUCAAGAAUGAUUUCAGCCUUGAAGAGAAGUUGCAAACAAUCCCACCAGGAAUGUUCAGGUACUAAUGGGAAAAUGCAGUCAGAUUUUGGAGUUCAAAAAAAGGACAGGACCGAGAGCAUGUUGGUGUUGCUAGCAGGCAACAACAAAAGUUUACACACACGGCUGGAUCAAAGAGCUCUGCUUGUAUAGCUCAUGAGGAGGAAAAUACAUCCGGUUCUAAAG
Hibiscus syriacus is the source of this 250-nucleotide long non-coding RNA. RefSeq lists it as uncharacterized. The transcript is spliced from 3 exons. The record is from RefSeq and is a predicted model, not a curated record. Lineage: Eukaryota; Viridiplantae; Streptophyta; Magnoliopsida; Malvales; Malvaceae.